Triticum urartu is the source of this 80-nucleotide non-coding RNA. Lineage: Eukaryota; Viridiplantae; Streptophyta; Magnoliopsida; Poales; Poaceae. The record is from Rfam.
GGUCAGAUGAUGCUACAACAACAUAUUCCUGAGAUUCUCUUUGAGGAAUACAAAAUCAAGGUUUUAAAGACUGAUGGCCA